Molecule: long non-coding RNA, 342 nt
Organism: Leptopilina heterotoma
Lineage: Eukaryota; Metazoa; Arthropoda; Insecta; Hymenoptera; Figitidae
Exons: 2
Source: RefSeq, a predicted model, not a curated record
UGUAGAAUGGAAUUUUUGUCAGUUUUGUGAAGUGUCUAAAACGAAUUUUUUUUGUCGAGUGCGAAGUCUGCGACACAAAAAAAAUUGUUAAUUUUUGAAUUCUCAAAACAAUAAAAAUAUGUAUGAUCUUUGAGUUUAAUUUUCCCAAUUUUAAUAAGUUCUAAAUUUGUAGAUGAAGGAAGAAGGCCUAUUUUUGAGAAUCUUAGCAUUAAUGAAUCAAAACCUUCAACCUCGACAAAUGGAGAAACAAGAACAAUUAGAAAUGAAACUUUAGAAAAUACGCAAAAUUGUUCAACUGCAGAAACGGGGGCUAGAUCUCAAAGUGUUUAUUCUUCAUCGAGG